This 447-nucleotide ribosomal RNA is filed under the name uncultured bacterium. RNAcentral's name for it is "bacterial SSU rRNA". It matches the Rfam family "Bacterial small subunit ribosomal RNA", at positions 330 to 793 of the family's 1533-position model. The record is from RNAcentral.
ACCAGACUCCUACGGGAGGCAGCAGUGGGGGAUAUUGCACAAUGGGGGGAACCCUGAUGCAGCGACGCCGCGUGGGUGAAGAAGUAUUUCGGUAUGUAAAGCCCUAUCGGCAGGGAAGAAAUUGGACGGUACCUGACUAAGAAGCCCCGGCUAACUACGUGCCGGCAGCCGCGGUAAUACGUAGGGGGCAAGCGUUAUCCGGAUUCACUGGGUGUAAAGGGAGCGUAGACGGCCAUGCAAGCCCGGAGUGAAAGCCCGGGGCCCAACCCCGGGACUGCUCUGGGAACUGUGCGGCUGGAGUGCGGGAGGGGCAGGCGGAAUUCCUGGUGUAGCGGUGAAAUGCGUAGAUAUCAGGAGGAACACCGGCGGCGAAGGCGGCCUGCUGGACCGCGACUGACGUUGAGGCUCGAAAGCGUGGGGAGCAAACAGGAUUAGAUACCCCGGUAU